This is a long non-coding RNA of Cyanistes caeruleus (blue tit), 1543 nucleotides long. Lineage: Eukaryota; Metazoa; Chordata; Aves; Passeriformes; Paridae. The record is from Ensembl.
UUUUUAGGGAAAAAUGGGAAAUUUUUGGGGAAAAUUGGGAAUUUUGGGGGAAAAUGGGAUUUUGGGGGAGAAAAUUGGGAAUUUUGGGGGGGAAAAACGGGAAUUUGGGGGGAAAUUGGGGAUUUGGGGGAAAGAAAAUGAAAAUUUAUGGGGAAAAAUGUGGAUUUUUAUGGGGAAAACGGGGAUUUAGGGGGAAAAAAUGGGCGGAAAAAUGGGAAUUUGGGGGUAAAAUGGGAAUUUGGGGGGGAAAAUGGGAAUUUGGGGAAAGGGAAGUGAAAAUUUAUGGGGAAAAAUGGGAAUUUUUUGAAGAAAAAUGUGAAUUUUUAUGGGAAAAUGGGAAUUUUUAUGGGGAAAAAUGGAGGUUUUAGAUGGAAAAAUGAGGAUUUGGGGAAAAAAAAUGGGAAUUUGGGGGGAAAAUGGGAAUUUGGGGGGAAAAAUGGGGAUUUUGGGAGGAAAAAUGGGAAUUUUGGGGGGAAAAUGGGAAUUUUGGGGGGAAAAAUUGGAAUGAGGAGGGAAAAACCGGGAAUUUGGGGGAAAAAUGGGAAAUUUUUGGGGAAAAAUGGGGAUUUUUGGGGGGAAAAUGGGAAUGAGGGGGAGAAAAAUGGGAAUUUUGGGGGGAAAAUGGGAGUUUGGGGGAAAAAUGGGAAUUUGGGGGAAAAAAAUGGGAAUUUUUUGAAGAAAAAUGUGAAUUUUUAUGGGGAAAAUGGGAAUUUGGGGUGGGAAAUUGGGAAUUUGGGGGGAAAAUUGGGAAAUUUUUAGGGAAAAAUGGGAAAUUUUUGGGGAAAAUUGGGAAUUUUGGGGGAAAAUGGGAUUUUGGGGGGGAAAAUGGGAAUUUGGGGGAAAAACGGGAAUUUGGGGGGAAAUUGGGGAUUUGGGGGAAAGAAAAUGAAAAUUUAUGGGGAAAAAUGUGGAUUUUUAUGGGGAAAACGGGGAUUUAGGGGGAAAAAAUGGGCGGAAAAAUGGGAAUUUGGGGGUAAAAUGGGAAUUUGGGGGGGAAAAUGGGAAUUUGGGGAAAGGGAAGUGAAAAUUUAUGGGGAAAAAUGGGAAUUUUGGGGGGAAAAUGGGGAUUUUGGGGGGAAAAAUGGAGGUUUUAGGAGAAAAAAUGGAGAUUUUAGAUGGAAAAAUGAGGAUUUGGGGAAAAAAAAUGGGAAUUUUUAUGGGGAAAAUGGGAAUUUGGGGGGAAAAUUGGGAAUUUUGGGGGAAAAAAGGGGAAUUUUGGGGGUGGGAAAUUGGGGAUUUUGGGCAAAAAAUGGGAAUUUUGGGGGAAAAAUGGGAAUUUUGGGGGGGAAAAAAUGGAAUUUUUUGAAGAAAAAUGUGAAUUUUUAUAGGGAAAAAUGGGAAAUUUUUGGGGAAAAUUGGGAAUUUUGGGGGAAAAUGGGAUUUUGGGGGAGAAAAUUGGGAAUUUUGGGAGGUAAAAUGGGAAUUUUGGGGGAGAAUUGGGAAUUUUUUGGGGAAAAAUGGGAAUGAGGGGGGAAAAUGGGGAAUUUGGGAUCUCAAAGGAUCAGGAAAUAAAUCUUGGGAUUAAAAAAUCUUGGGAAUUUGG